GCCGCCGCCGCCGUCGUCGACGACGAGGAGGACGGCGUCGCUCUUCCAACCCUGUCCUUCCGGUGGACGUUCAUGUGCCCGCCGAGCGCCUGCGCCGUCGGGAAGCCCCUCCUGCAGAAGGUGCAGUUGUACGGCUGCCUCGUGCCGGCCUCGUCGUCGUCGUCGUCGUCGCCGCUGCGGGCCUCGCGGAGCUCCUCCU
Molecule: small RNA, 199 nt
Filed under: Oryza sativa Japonica Group (Japanese rice)
Lineage: Eukaryota; Viridiplantae; Streptophyta; Magnoliopsida; Poales; Poaceae
Description: sRNA Os02g0821301
Source: RNAcentral